Non-coding RNA from Lactuca sativa (garden lettuce), 2696 nucleotides. NCBI's taxonomy places the organism in Eukaryota, Viridiplantae, Streptophyta, Magnoliopsida, Asterales, Asteraceae. The record is from RefSeq and is a predicted model, not a curated record.
UCCAAAUUCACGUAUUCUUAAAGAGGUUUUUAGAUAUUUCCCUGUUUCCAUUUUUGGGUUUGAUGUUCAAAAUUUUAUUUUUAUUUUUAAUUUUUUCGUGGCAAUUUUCCAAUAAAUAGUCACCACCCCAUGAGGGAGGUUGGGGGUACACUACGGCGAUGGGUUUCUGUUUUUAAGGCUCCAUUUUGGAGGCGUAGAAUACAAAAGUUUUGGGUUCUUCAGUUUGAUUUGGGUCUGGGUUCAACAAGUAUGGUGAAGGUAAAUGAAAGGCUUUCAUGUAAGGAAUGGUUAUAUCAUGUGAAAAGGAUAUGGGUUUCAUGAUCUUCCCUGCUAUCUCUUUUUAUAUACCCUUCGUCUCCACCGUGUCUUACCACCACCACAGAGACACCCACGACACACCACUUCCCAUUCUCCAUAUACGGAUGUCGACACUUGAUUUUCCGUUAGGGAGGCGGGAGGAGUAGCGAUUGAACUCCUCCCAAACCUUCGAUGUCUGUUCAUCGCCUUCAAUGAAGUCGCCACCACCAAGAAGUGAAAUCGAAGUCGAGUGCAAAUAUCUUUCUCUUCUUUAUUUUCUUUCUGUUUCUGGUCAAUGUAUUUGCAGUUUUUUUUCCUUUGGUAUGAAGAAGAUAUACUCUAGGUAUUCGACAAUUUCUUUUUAUAAUUUUGGAAUUUGGCAACGUAUUAUUUUCCUGUAAUGGAUUCCACUGAUUGGAGUGAUUUUGGAAGCUAUGGCUAGCCUUCUGUCUUCUUCUUUUGUUCUUUGUUAUGAGGACACUUGCAGUCCAUUAAAGGUAUGAUAUUGUUUACUACCUAUUGAAUCAUUUGGAGAAUAUUGUUGGUUCUAUUCAAAUAAUUUCUUAUUAGCUUGAACUGUAGGUGUUUGAUGCAGGCAAUACCCCGACAUGAAUUCAGAGAAACAACUUUUUACACUAAAAUUGUACAUUUUCAUUUCCAAUUUGCCAUACACUUUCUCAAACCGACAGUCAAUCUUUUCGGUUAACUUAUGUAUGCAGUUUUGUGUUUUUUUUUGUUGUUGUUUAGAGUAAAUUAUAGGAAAUGAACUGUUAAUUUGACCUAAAAUUUCAUCUGGAGGAGUCAUUCAAUGAUGUUGGAAAAAUUAGGAGGUAAACCUUAACUGAAGUAUGCCCACCAACAGUUUGUUAAAAUGCCAAAUAGACAUUUUAGACCUGUUACAUUAAUAUUUCUUUACUCUAAGUUUUUCGUGUAUAUUAACUGAUUAAAGGUGUUAUUUUUGUCAGUUUUUUGAACUGAUAAGUAUGAAGUUCAAACCUGGAAAUCUUUUAAGACAAGACCACCAACACGAAGAUCACACAUAUUUUAUGAAAGUGACUUCCAACUAACAAUGACAACAGGAGAAGUAGCUCUAAUUGUUGGUGUUAGGUAACCUAAAUCCUCCUUCAAAAUUAUAAUUUAUAAAAAAAUCUAAUUACUUAUAUUUAUUAUUUGGGCGAAUAUGUAAUUCUGAAUUAUUUUUAACAUGAUCUGUGUAUACAAUUUUGAACUUAAUUUGUAAGCAUUAGUUGAACAUUUUCUGUCAGAUUAUAUAUCAUGUUCAGCUGCUUUACAGGGGAAGAGUAGAAAGUGCGGGCCAAAAGUCGUCUUAUUUGGGGAAAGAUGAUGACAUCACCAAGGAGAAAAAACAAUGGAGGAUGUUGUCAAGCUAUUGUAGCCAUCAGGUGUCCAUUGGUGGUACAUCAGGUUGCUUAGCUGCUGCCUUUUAAAACCAAUCAAACUGAGAUGAAUAUUUGUGAAAUCGAGUUCUUUUUUAAAUAUAUUUUAAAAAAUGUGUGAUUAAUGGUCAGCAUUUUGGUUUCUUUCUUUCAUAACCUAAUAUAAUGAAUUCUUUUGAGUAUCCUACUCUAACCCCUCAAGACUUGAUUAAUAUAAUGAAAUGCAUAUGUAACCUGUCUAUUUCUAAAGAGAACUUAUUCCACAUGCACAACACAAAUAGUUCACAAACACAUUCUGUCAAGGAAUACCCAUCUAGUAUAUGUUUAUACAUGUAAACAAAAACACAAAUUAUAAAUUUGAAUCCAUACGAUUAAACCCAAAAAAUAAAUUUGCAAAAUCCAAACACAAUAAAAAACUUGUCGUACACCAAAUUACCAGGUUUAGAGGAUAAAAUAAUAAAUGGGAGUACAUACGAAAAAAAAAAAAAAAAAAAAAAAUUAAUUUGAUUGGUAUUAGUGGGUGAACUAGGAUGGACCAUGUAGCGCCUUCUAAAACCCUAGUUUCCAAAAUCAGAUUCUAUCGGUCACAAACUCAACCCUAUAAAUCAGCACCGGUAUCGUCCCUUCGUCAAUUAGUUCUUCCUUCAUCUCUAAUUAAACACUCUGCUUUCAAAUACUCCUUUGAUUGCUUAACUAUGUUUCAUUUACGUUUAGUAUUACAUAGUUUGUAUGUAUAAUCUGUGUUUUGUGCGUUGAUGAAACAAUUUGUGGACUAGAGUUUCUGAUCUUGGGCUCUUCUUCCCAUUCAGUUUGACGACAAACCCUUGGCUGUCUGAGCACACAAAAAAAAUCCAAUAAUUUUUUAUCAAAUUUGAUCGAGCUUAUGAUGAUACUUUUAAUUAUCUUAGCGGAUUUCAGUGAGAUUGAAUCAAUGAUCUGAUUGUUACACACACUGAGGCUCAUUAUUGUAAUUGAAAACCCUUAUGUUUUUUUCUCUCUUUA